AUACCCGCUGAACUUAAGCAUAUCAAUAAGCGGAGGAAAAGAAACCAACAGGGAUUGCCUCAGUAACGGCGAGUGAAGCGGCAACAGCUCAAAUUUGAAAUCUGGCUCCCCUGGGGGCCCGAGUUGUAAUUUGUAGAGGAUGCUUCGGCGUGGGCCCCGGUCUAAGUUCCUUGGAACAGGACGUCACAGAGGGUGAGAAUCCCGUACGUGGCCGUGGGUGCUCGCCAUGUGAAGCUCCUUCGACGAGUCGAGUUGUUUGGGAAUGCAGCUCUAAAUGGGAGGUAAAUUUCUUCUAAAGCUAAAUACUGGCCAGAGACCGAUAGCGCACAAGUAGAGUGAUCGAAAGAUGAAAAGCACUUUGGAAAGAGAGUCAAAAAGUACGUGAAAUUGUUGAAAGGGAAGCGCUUGCAACCAGACCUGCCUGCGGUUGCUCAUCCGGGCUCUUGCCCGGUGCACUCUUCCGCAGUCAGGCCAGCAUCAGCUCUGGCGGUCGGAUAAAGGCGGCGGGAAUGUGGCUCCCCUCGGGGAGUGUUAUAGCCCGCCGUGCAAUGCGGCCAGCCGGGACUGAGGUCCGCGCUUCGGCUAGGAUGCGGGCGUAAUGGUUGUAAGCGGCCCGUCUUGAAACACGGACC
RNAcentral lists this ribosomal RNA (632 nucleotides) under Rhytidhysteron rufulum. Its description in RNAcentral is "eukaryotic LSU rRNA". It matches the Rfam family "Eukaryotic large subunit ribosomal RNA", at positions 21 to 667 of the family's 3401-position model. The record is from RNAcentral. Lineage: Eukaryota; Fungi; Ascomycota; Dothideomycetes; Hysteriales; Hysteriaceae.